CGACAGAAGAAGCACCGGCUAACUCCGUGCCAGCAGCCGCGGUAAUACGGAGGGUGCGAGCGUUAAUCGGAAUUACUGGGCGUAAAGCGCAUGCAGGUGGUUGUUAAGUCAGAUGUGAAAGACCCGGGCGUCAACCUCGGAAAUAGCAUUUGUAAACUGGCAGACUAGAGUACUGUAGAGGGGGGUAGGAAUUUCAGGUGUAGCGGUGAAAUGCGUAGAGAUCUGAAGGAAUACCGGUGGCGAAGGCGGCCCCCUCGGACAGAUACUGACACUCAGAUGCGAAAGCGUGGGGAGCAAACAGGAUUAGAUACCCUGGUAG
This 319-nucleotide ribosomal RNA is filed under the name uncultured bacterium. RNAcentral describes it as "bacterial SSU rRNA". It matches the Rfam family "Bacterial small subunit ribosomal RNA", at positions 479 to 793 of the family's 1533-position model. The record is from RNAcentral.